GUGGAUUAGAUACCCUGGUAGUCCACACUGUAAACGAUGAUUGCUAGGUGUGGGGGGUCUGACCCCCUCCGUGCCGGAGUUAACGCAAUAAGCAAUCCACCUGGGGAGUACGGCCGCAAGGUUGAAACUCAAAGGAAUUGACGGGGGCCCGCACAAGCAGUGGAUUAUGUGGUUUAAUUCGAAGCAACGCGAAGAACCUUACCAGGUCUUGACAUCCAACUAACGAGAUAGAGAUAUGUCAGGUGCCCUUCGGGGAAAGUUGAGACAGGUGGUGCAUGCCCGUCGCCAGCU
RNAcentral lists this ribosomal RNA (291 nucleotides) under uncultured bacterium. RNAcentral describes it as "partial 16S ribosomal RNA". It matches the Rfam family "Bacterial small subunit ribosomal RNA", at positions 773 to 1060 of the family's 1533-position model. The record is from RNAcentral.